AGUGAACGCUGGCGGCAGGCCUAACACAUGCAAGUCGAACGGCAGCACGGCAGUAGCAAUACUGUGGGUGGCGAGUGGCGGACGGGUGAGGAAUACAUGGGAAUCUACCCUGUCGUGGGGGAUAACGUAGGGAAACUUACGCUAAUACCGCAUACGACCGAGAGGUGAAAGCGGCGGACCGCAAGGCGUCGCGCGAUUGGAUGAGCCCAUGUCGGAUUAGCUAGUUGGCGGGGUAAAGGCCCACCAAGGCGACGAUCCGUAGCUGGUCUGAGAGGAUGAUCAGCCACACUGGAACUGAGACACGGUCCAGACUCCUACGGGAGGCAGCAGUGGGGAAUAUUGGACAAUGGGCGCAAGCCUGAUCCAGCCAUGCCGCGUGAGUGAAGAAGGCCUUCGGGUUGUAAAGCUCUUUUGUCCGGAAAGAAAAGCUCUCGGUUAAUACCCGGGGGUGAUGACGGUACCGGAAGAAUAAGCACCGGCUAACUUCGUGCCAGCAGCCGCCGUAA
Molecule: ribosomal RNA, 506 nt
Filed under: uncultured bacterium
Lineage: Bacteria
Description: partial 16S ribosomal RNA
Rfam family: Bacterial small subunit ribosomal RNA
Source: RNAcentral